This 73-nucleotide transfer RNA is filed under the name Dipodomys ordii (Ord's kangaroo rat). It matches the Rfam family "tRNA". From Rfam's summary of the family: Transfer RNA (tRNA) molecules are approximately 80 nucleotides in length. Their secondary structure includes four short double-helical elements and three loops (D, anti-codon, and T loops). Further hydrogen bonds mediate the characteristic L-shaped molecular structure. tRNAs have two regions of fundamental functional importance: the anti-codon, which is responsible for specific mRNA codon recognition, and the 3' end, to which the tRNAs corresponding amino acid is attached (by aminoacyl-tRNA synthetases). tRNAs cope with the degeneracy of the genetic code in two manners: having more than one tRNA (with a specific anti-codon) for a particular amino acid; and 'wobble' base-pairing, i.e. permitting non-standard base-pairing at the 3rd anti-codon position. The record is from Rfam by way of RNAcentral. Lineage: Eukaryota; Metazoa; Chordata; Mammalia; Rodentia; Heteromyidae.
GGAGGCAUGGCUCAAGUGGUAGAGCACCCACCUCCCAAGUACAAGGCCUUGAGUUCAAAUCCCAAUAACACUA